Molecule: long non-coding RNA, 154 nt
Organism: Ceratina calcarata
Lineage: Eukaryota; Metazoa; Arthropoda; Insecta; Hymenoptera; Apidae
Exons: 2
Source: RefSeq, a predicted model, not a curated record
AGAAAAAAGUGUAGUUUUUAUGAACUUAGUUAUCUGCCAGGUUGCAUUCGAAAUAUCUCCGAGGAUGUAAUCACGCUUUUUGGAGAUAAGAAGAAAUAACUGAUCAUUCUUGUGUGCCUUUUUGAUAAAAGUUUCAAAUUUACUUACUGUAUCA